GGUCAAGUAGUGAAGUGCAAACGGUGGAUGCCUUGGCAGCUAGAGGCGAUGAAGGACGUAGUAACUUGCGAUAAGCUUCGGGGAGUCGGUAACAGACUUUGAUCCGGAGAUUUCCGAAUGGGAAAACCCACCUAGGAUAACCUAGGUAUCUUUAUCUGAAUUCAUAGGGUAAAGAGGCAAACGCGGAGAACUGAAACAUCUUAGUAACCGCAGGAAAAGAAAUCAAUUGAGAUUCUGUGAGUAGCGGCGAGCGAAAGCGGAAUAGCCAGCAAUCUUUAUUUUUUAGAUUAGGGGAAUGACCUGGAAAGGUCUGUCAUAGAAGGUGAUAACCCUGUACCCAAAAAUCUUUAAAAAGAACUAGGUUUGCAAUAAGUAGGUCGGGACACGAGAAAUCUUGACUGAAGAUGGGGGGACCAUCCUCCAAGGCUAAAUACUCCUAGCUGACCGAUAGUGAACCAGUACCGUGAGGGAAAGGCGAAA
Molecule: ribosomal RNA, 480 nt
Filed under: Gammaproteobacteria bacterium
Lineage: Bacteria; Pseudomonadati; Pseudomonadota; Gammaproteobacteria
Description: partial 23S ribosomal RNA
Rfam family: Bacterial large subunit ribosomal RNA
Source: RNAcentral